AUUGAACGCUGGCGGCAUGCUUUACACAUGCAAGUCGAACGGUAACAGGGUGCUUGCACCGCUGACGAGUGGCGAACGGGUGAGUAAUGCGUCGGAACGCACCGAGUAAUGGGGGAUAACGCAGCGAAAGUUGUGCUAAUACCGCAUACGCUCUGAGGAGGAAAGCGGGGGACCUUCGGGCCUCGCGUUAUUCGAGCGGCCGACGUCUGAUUAGCUAGUAGGUGAGGUAAGAGCUCACCUAGGCGACGAUCAGUAGCGGGUCUGAGAGGAUGAUCCGCCACACUGGGACUGAGGCACGGCCCAGACUCCUACGGGAGGCAGCAGUGGGGAAUUUUGGAUAAUGGGCGCAAGCCUGAUCCAGCCAUGCCGCGUGUCUGAAGAAGGCCUUCGGGUUGUAAAGGACUUUUGUCAGGGAGGAAAUCCCUAAGGUUAAUACCCUUGGGGGAUGACAGUACCUGAAGAAUAAGCACCGGCUAACUACGUGCCAGCCGCCGCAGUAA
This 500-nucleotide ribosomal RNA is filed under the name uncultured bacterium. Its description in RNAcentral is "partial 16S ribosomal RNA". It matches the Rfam family "Bacterial small subunit ribosomal RNA", at positions 30 to 523 of the family's 1533-position model. The record is from RNAcentral.